UUCUUUGUGGUCAACACAAAGUCUGUACUUUCUUUAGUGUUCAACAAAUUGAAGUAUUUAUGGUAUUUCCAAUGACACGACUACCACAAAAGCCACAAAAGCGUAAUGGUGAGUUACUUGAAUGUGAUAAUAGGUGAAUGAUAAUGAUGAUUUUGAUAGAGUAGGUCAUUCUCAUGAAGAAUUUGACUGGAAUGUGUGGGGGCCGGAUUCGACACAACAACAACAAGCUGUCAGAAUGUCAUGCACAAUAUGUUUCUGUUUGUCCGCAAUUGUCAUGAAGAUGUCAAGAGAUCACCAGUAACGAGCUCAUAAUGAUCUGAAUAUGAUGUAGGCCUAUAAUUAAGAAGUGUUCCGCCACCGUCAUGAAGAUGCCAAGAGACCACCAGUAACAAGCUCAUAAAGAUCUGAGUAUGAUGUAGGCCUAUAAAUAAAAAGUGGUAUUAACAACUGCAUCUCCCAAGGAACCAUGUCAUCCAUCCAUGAAGCAGCACCUAAGUCAACAGUGCCUGUUUUGUAAGCAAGGCCUGAAUGAAUGAAGCCAGGCCUGAAUGAAAGAACCCAGGAAGAUUCAAGCUUCAAGCUUCGCUGAAUGGAGCGCUGACACCUGUUGCAGCCUUGGAAUUUUCAACAUAUGAACAUGAACAUGAACACAACUGAUGUUUCUAUCAAAUUAUUUAUUAUUAGGCUACUGUAAAAUAACGCGUGGUAAAUUUAUUGAUUUUAUCAGCCCAACAAUGCAACAUGGCAUGUUUAACAAAAAGCAUUCAUUUUUGCUCAAGUUUUUGCAAUUUUGCCCAAAAUUUCAACAAAGCUUUAUACCUUGCGCAUUUUCAAAAUUUUGCUUGAAUUUUGCCCAAGGCUGCUUUACGUAUUUAUCAAAUUUUGCUCAAAUUUUGCCCAAAAAUGCAGCAAGGCUAUAUAAAUAUAGCCUUGCGUAUUUAUCUUAUUUUGCCCGUAAAUUCAACAGGGCUUUAUUUUGCUCUAAUUUUGCCCAAAAGUGCAACAAUGCAAUUUCCUUGCGUAUUUAUCAAAUUUUGCACAAAUUUUGCGUGAAAAUG
Asterias rubens (European starfish) is the source of this 1058-nucleotide long non-coding RNA. RefSeq lists it as uncharacterized. NCBI's taxonomy places the organism in Eukaryota, Metazoa, Echinodermata, Asteroidea, Forcipulatida, Asteriidae. The transcript has 4 exons. The record is from RefSeq and is a predicted model, not a curated record.